Molecule: ribosomal RNA, 301 nt
Filed under: uncultured bacterium
Lineage: Bacteria
Description: partial 16S ribosomal RNA
Rfam family: Bacterial small subunit ribosomal RNA
Source: RNAcentral
CAGCAGCCGCGGGAAUACGUAGGUGGCAAGCGUUGUCCGAAAUUAUUGGGCGUAAAGCGCGCGCAGGUGGUUUAAUAAGUCUGAUGUGAAAGCCCACGGCUCAACCGUGGAGGGUCAUUGGAAACUGUUAAACUUGAGUGCAGGAGAGAAAAGUGGAAUUCCUAGUGUAGCGGUGAAAUGCGUAGAUAUCGGAAGGAACACCAGUGGCGAAGGCGGCUACCUGGACUGAGACUGACACUGAGGCGCGAGAGCGUGGGGAGCAAACAGGAUUAGAUACCCGUGUAGUCCCUGUCUCUUAUAA